This 406-nucleotide ribosomal RNA is filed under the name uncultured bacterium. RNAcentral describes it as "partial 16S ribosomal RNA". It matches the Rfam family "Bacterial small subunit ribosomal RNA", at positions 30 to 526 of the family's 1533-position model. The record is from RNAcentral.
AUUGAACGCUGGCGGCAGGCUUAACACAUGCAAGUCGAGCGAGCGGUGGACGGGUGAGUAAUGUCUGGGAAACUGACUGAUGGAGGGGGAUAACUAGGGGAAAAGGUAGAUAAUAACGCAUAGAAUCAGAUGGGGCAAGAUGGGAUUAGCUAGUAGGUGGGGUAAUGGCUCACCUAGGCGACGAUCCCUAGCUGGUCUGAGAGGAUGACCAGCCACACUGGAACUGAGACACGGUCCAGACUCCUACGUGAGGCAGCAGUGGGGAAUAUUGCACAAUGGGCGCAAGCCUGAUGCAGCCAUGCCGCGUGUGUGAAGAAGGCCUUCGGGUUGUAAAGCACUUUCAGCGAGGAGGCGUUACUCGCAGAAGAAGCACCGGCUAACUCCGUGCCAGCAGCCGCGGUAAUUC